Molecule: transfer RNA, 73 nt
Filed under: Propionibacteriaceae bacterium
Lineage: Bacteria; Bacillati; Actinomycetota; Actinomycetes; Propionibacteriales; Propionibacteriaceae
Description: tRNA-Asn
Rfam family: tRNA
About the family: Transfer RNA (tRNA) molecules are approximately 80 nucleotides in length.
Source: RNAcentral
UCCUCCGUAGCUCAAUCGGCAGAGCAUCUGACUGUUAAUCAGAGGGUUCCUGGUUCGAGUCCAGGCGGGGGAG